RNAcentral lists this ribosomal RNA (672 nucleotides) under uncultured cyanobacterium. RNAcentral describes it as "bacterial SSU rRNA". It matches the Rfam family "Bacterial small subunit ribosomal RNA", at positions 788 to 1459 of the family's 1533-position model. Lineage: Bacteria; Bacillati; Cyanobacteriota. The record is from RNAcentral.
CUGUAGUCCUAGCCGUAAACGAUGGACACUAGGUGUUGUCUGUAUCGACCCGGACAGUGCCGUAGCCAACGCGUUAAGUGUCCCGCCUGGGGAGUACGCACGCAAGUGUGAAACUCAAAGGAAUUGACGGGGGCCCGCACAAGCGGUGGAGUAUGUGGUUUAAUUCGAUGCAACGCGAAGAACCUUACCAGGGCUUGACAUCCCGCGAAUCUCUGUGAAAGUGGAGAGUGCCUUCGGGAGCGCGGAGACAGGUGGUGCAUGGCUGCCGUCAGCUCGUGUCGUGAGAUGUUGGGUUAAGUCCCGCAACGAGCGCAACCCUCGUUCUUAGUUGCCAUCAUUAAGUUGGGCACUCUAGGGAGACUGCCGGUGACAAACCGGAGGAAGGUGGGGAUGACGUCAAGUCAUCAUGCCCCUUACGUCCUGGGCUACACACGUACUACAAUGCUAGAGACAAAGAGCAGCCAACCAGCGAUGGUGAGCUAAUCUCAUAAACUCUGGCUCAGUUCAGAUUGCAGGCUGCAACUCGCCUGCAUGAAGGAGGAAUCGCUAGUAAUCGCAGGUCAGCAUACUGCGGUGAAUACGUUCCCGGGCCUUGUACACACCGCCCGUCACACCAUGGAAGUUGGCCACGCCCGAAGUCGUUACCCUAACCUUCGAGGGGGGGGGCGCCGA